GGUGAUUACAGAACUAAACCUUUACAGUAGGAGUCACGAAAGCAAAGCACAAUUAUAAGAAUGUAUCAUGGCUAUGUGAUACGAAAUUUUGUUUUUCUCCACUGCAGAGAGUUAGAUUCUCAACAUCUGUCCUGUUCAGUUUGAGCAUAUAGGACAAGUUCUUUGUUAUAUGUACUCAGAGGUUUGUACUGUUUAUCGCAUUACAUUACAUUACAUUACAGGUUCUAGAUGCUGAUUCAAAGAAAAGGUGAGCCAACCCUCAUUUUUUCUCAAACUUUAAUGCUAUAGUUUCCUCUCAUGCUAGCUCUCUUUUCCCUUGUACCAGUGCUUCACUAAACAACCAAGAUUUGGAAAUGGUUAUUAGUUAUGUUCUACUUAUUUGACAGAGUUCUGUGAAAAGUAUUCAUGUUCUUUUAACUGAAUUUAAUUCUUUUCUACUUAACUAAUGAACUGCUAAGCAAAUAUUGUAGGGCAGUCGGCUUAUUUGCAUCUAUACAUGCCUUUAUAUGUUUGUUAGGAACUUUUGAAAAAUAUAGCUCCUACAUGGAUGAAUGAAGAAGGACCCUGAAGCUGAUAAAGCUUUUGGCUGGGUACCCUGAAGCUGAUAAAGCUGAUUCUCCCUUAGCAUGUGGAUUGGGAUUGGGAACAAAAACUAACCUUAAACCUCCAAUGCAUUCCAAGUUGCUUUCUUUUUCUGGAGUUGGUUAAGUUUGGUUUACCUUCUUGCUUCCAUAAGAAUGCUGCAGACAUAGCCAUCAGGCUGUCAAUGGGAUGUAAUUGAGAGGCUUAAUGUUUUGAGGGGCAGAGGCAUGACUUCAAUGUAUUCUUGGUCUUGCAAGAGGCACAGAUGAAUAGCUCCGGAGCGCGCUAGUCGGACCCGUGAACCUAGCUAGAUUAGCUCUAUUAUCGGUCUGCGUGCCUUGAAGUUGUACUAGAUAUUGUUUGAUGAUUUCUUAUGUUUGGAUAGUUU
Molecule: long non-coding RNA, 970 nt
Organism: Ipomoea nil (Japanese morning glory)
Lineage: Eukaryota; Viridiplantae; Streptophyta; Magnoliopsida; Solanales; Convolvulaceae
Exons: 5
Source: RefSeq, a predicted model, not a curated record